RNAcentral lists this transfer RNA (66 nucleotides) under Neotoma lepida (desert woodrat). It matches the Rfam family "tRNA". From Rfam's summary of the family: Transfer RNA (tRNA) molecules are approximately 80 nucleotides in length. The record is from Rfam by way of RNAcentral. Lineage: Eukaryota; Metazoa; Chordata; Mammalia; Rodentia; Cricetidae.
AGUGUGGCUCAGUUGGUAGAGCACUUGCCUAGCAUGUAGGAAAUCCUGGGUUUUACCCCAAGCACU